CGGUAAUUCCAGCUCCAAUAGCGUAUACUAAGGUUGUUGCAGUUAAAAAGCUCGUAGUUGGAUUUCUGCGGGGACGGAGCGGCCGGUCGCAACUUGCGACUCGAGCUAGCGCUUUCCCCGCAUCCUGCCGCGAACCGUGCUACCAUUAGUUUGGUGGCGCUGGGGAUCGGCUCGAUUACUUUGAGAAAAAUAGAGUGUUCAAAGCAGGCCACACGCCUUGAAUAAGUUAGCAUGGAAUAAUGACUAAGGACUUUGGUUCUUUUCGUUGGUGUUCGGGACUGAAGUAAUGAUUGAUAGGGACAGUUGGGGCGGUCCGUAUUCCAAAGCGAGAGGUGAAAUUCUUAGACCUUCGGAAGACGAACAGCUGCGAAAGCGUUCCGCAAGGAUGUUCCCUUUGGUCAAGAACGAAAGUUGGGGGAUCGAAGACGAUCAGAUACCGUCGUAGUCUCAACUAUAAACUAUACCAGCUAGGGAUCGGCCAACGUUUAAUUUAUCGACUUGGUCGGCACCUUAUGAGAAAUCAAAGCAUCUGGGUUCCGGGGGGAGUAUGGCCGCAAGGCUGAAACUUAAAGGAAUUGACGGAAGGGCACCACCAGCCGUGGAGCCUGUGGCUUAAUUUGACUCAACACGGGAAAACUUACCAGGUCCAGACAUAGGAAGGAUUGACAGAUUGAUAGCUCUUUCUUGAUUCUGUGGGUGGUGGUGCAUGGCCGUUUUUAGUCGGUGGAUGUGAUCUGUCUGCUUAAUUGCGUUAACGGACGAGACCCCAGCCUGCUAAAUAGCGCGGCCGAGCUUUGCUCGGUGCGAGCUUCUUAGAGGGACCAUGAUGCGCGAUAGCACAAGGAAGUUUGGGGCAACAACAGGUCUGUGAUGCCCUUAGAUGUUCUGGGCCGCACACGGGCUACACUGGCGCCUGCAACGAGCAUAUCAGCUGGCCCGAGAGGGUCUUGGCUAAUCUUUGGAACCGGCGCCGUGCUUGGGAUUGACCAUUGCAAUUGUUGGUCAUGCAACGAGGAAUGCCUUGUAAACGCGAGUCAUCAGCUCGCAUUGAAUACGUCCCUGCCCUUUGUACACACCGCCCGUCGCUCCUACCGAUGAAUGUUCCGAUGAAAUUUUCGGAGAGCACCAGAGAACGGGGCUCCGCCUUGCAGAUCUGGAGGCUCAAAGUCACUUAAAUCUGAACAUUUCGAGGAAGGAGAAGUCGUAACAAGGUAACC
This 1217-nucleotide ribosomal RNA is filed under the name uncultured Rhizaria. Its description in RNAcentral is "SSU rRNA". It matches the Rfam family "Eukaryotic small subunit ribosomal RNA", at positions 577 to 1804 of the family's 1831-position model. The record is from RNAcentral.